CGCCAGACUCCUACGGGAGGCAGCAGUGGGGAAUAUUGCACAAUGGGGGAAACCCUGAUGCAGCGACGCCGCGUGAGUGAAGAAGUAUUUCGGUAUGUAAAGCUCUAUCAGCAGGGAAGAAAAUGACGGUACCUGACUAAGAAGCCCCGGCUAACUACGUGCCAGCAGCCGCGGUAAUACGUAGGGGGCAAGCGUUAUCCGGAUUUACUGGGUGUAAAGGGAGCGUAGACGGCAGCGCAAGUCUGAAGUGAAGUCCCAUGGCUUAACCAUGGAACUGCUUUGGAAACUGUGCAGCUGGAGUGCAGGAGAGGUAAGCGGAAUUCCUAGUGUAGCGGUGAAAUGCGUAGAUAUUAGGAGGAACACCAGUGGCGAAGGCGGCUUACUGGACUGUAACUGACGUUGAGGCUCGAAAGCGUGGGGAGCAAACAGGAUUAGAUACCCCUGUA
RNAcentral lists this ribosomal RNA (446 nucleotides) under uncultured bacterium. RNAcentral describes it as "bacterial SSU rRNA". It matches the Rfam family "Bacterial small subunit ribosomal RNA", at positions 329 to 792 of the family's 1533-position model. The record is from RNAcentral.